This is a long non-coding RNA of Canis lupus familiaris (dog), 484 nucleotides long. RefSeq lists it as uncharacterized. The transcript has 2 exons. Lineage: Eukaryota; Metazoa; Chordata; Mammalia; Carnivora; Canidae. The record is from RefSeq and is a predicted model, not a curated record.
GAUGGUGUGUGUCCUUGUCAGAACACCUGCUGUAUUCUCCCAGCAAACACUGGGGCCAGGGCGUCUCUCCUCUAAUGACACCUCAUCAAUCCGCUCCUAUCAAUGUCCCAGCCAUGGAGGUGACUUCGAGUGUUCAGAAGCCUUAGAAAAUGUCAACGUUUUGGGAGAAAAGGCAGAAGAACACUGCCUUCUUGCGCUUCUUCACAUCCUCUGGUGUUGACGACUUACACACCUUCAUGUCAUCCAACACUUUGAUGACGCCAUCAGAGACAGCUAUACCAGAGGCCAUGUUUCUGGAUGUGAAAGGAGACAGCAAGAAAAGAUGGAAAAGACGAGAGACACCACAGCUGCUGCUGGGAUCUGACUGAUGAAACUAAAACUUUAAAUUCAAAAUUGAAAUUGUCCUUAACAUGGGAUGUGUAUAUAUCUUUAUCUCCUAUGUAGCUGUUUUAAUAAUUCAUUUGGGCACUUGCCUCAUAUCGUA